Molecule: ribosomal RNA, 253 nt
Filed under: uncultured bacterium
Lineage: Bacteria
Description: partial 16S ribosomal RNA
Rfam family: Bacterial small subunit ribosomal RNA
Source: RNAcentral
UACGGAGGGUGCGAGCGUUGUCCGGAAUCAUUGGGCGUAAAGGGCGCGUAGGUGGCCCGGUCAGUUCGUGGUGAAAGCGCGGGGCUCAACCCCGCGUCGGCCAUGGAUACUGCUGGGCUUGAGCACUGUAGAGGCAGGCGGAAUUCCGGGUGUAGCGGUGGAAUGCGUAGAGAUCCGGAAGAACACCGGUGGCGAAGGCGGCCUGCUGGGCAGUAGCUGACACUGAGGCGCGACAGCGUGGGGAGCAAACAGG